This 221-nucleotide unclassified non-coding RNA is filed under the name Hevea brasiliensis (rubber tree). Lineage: Eukaryota; Viridiplantae; Streptophyta; Magnoliopsida; Malpighiales; Euphorbiaceae. The record is from RNAcentral.
AAAUGUGAUCAGAAUUUCAAAUCUGGUCUUCAAAUAUUUAUUCCAAGCAAAAUACAUGUCCAAACACAACUUCAAAAAAUCUACGGUCAAAUGGGAUUGGUAAUUUCUUCAAUGCAGUAACUUAUUCACACAAAUUCUACUGAUAAACAUCUUCUUUGAGCCAAAUUCUCUCUCCAAAAUGAAACCUUAAAGGGGAAUAGAGAGAUAGAAAUAGAAAAGCA